RNAcentral lists this long non-coding RNA (823 nucleotides) under Nicotiana benthamiana. RNAcentral's name for it is "long non-coding RNA (NBEN_LNC029308)". Lineage: Eukaryota; Viridiplantae; Streptophyta; Magnoliopsida; Solanales; Solanaceae. The record is from RNAcentral.
GCAGUGUCUCGGACUUGAACGGUUGAUGUCGAGGCUACCUCUUUUGCCAUGAAAGCACUUCUGCACAUAGCCCAGUCGGCCUUUGUUUCCUCCACGGCAGCCUUGGACGCCUCCAAGCUUAACUUGGCUCCAUCAACGUCCUGCCCCAAAUCUGCCAAGGCUUGAUACACUUUGGCCUGAAACAAGCUAUUCUCAUUGGCUAUCUCUUCCCCAUCAGCAUCAAUCCUUUCUUAGAAAGUAUCCAACGAAGUGUCAACCUUCUCGACGUACUCGUCUAAGGUUUGCUACGUGCAAUCCAACCUCUCUUUUGUGUCCGCCAUAGCUAUCUCAAGCUUAACUAAACGAGCUUGAAAACCAGCAAGAACGUCACGACACUUACCUCCCUUAUGUGUUGGUGGGAUGGUGCGCUCCUCCUCGCGACCCUUGCGAACUUGUUCCUCGCCACCGCUAGCCAUGUCGUGUAUGUGCCCAAGCUAACCCACGAACCCUUUCGUAGCGUGUGGUGGUGGGACGGUGCGCUCCUCCUCGCGACCCUUGCGAACUUGCUCCUCACCGCCGCUAGCCAUGUCGUGAAUGUGCCCAAGAUAACCCACGAACCCUUUCGUAGCGUUGCUCUGAUACCAACUGUCACGGACCGGAUAACUCCCUAGCUAUCUUUCGUGCGGCCUUAGUCACAAUUCGCCCCAGCGAUGUGCUAAGUCAGCCUUUUCCCGAACUAACACCACAACGAAGCUAAGAGAAGCUAAGAAGAGAAGCUUGCAAGAAAGCUUUGUAUUAAGAAAGAGAGCCUUUUACAAGUGUUGGAUUGCUUGAUUGUUUUCUC